GUCAUGGCUGCAUUGCGCUGUUGUAGUCCCAGCUACUUGGGAGGCUGAGACAGGAGGAUCGCUUGAGUCCAGGAGUUCUGGGCUGUAGUGCUCUAUGCCGAUCGGGUGUCCGCACUAAGUUUGGCAUCAAUAUGGUGACCUCCUGGGAGCGGGGGACCACCAGGUUGCCUAAGGAGGGGUGAACCGGCCCAGGUCGGAAAUGGAGCAGGUCAAAACUCCCGUGCUGAUUAGUCUUUUUUUUUUUAACCAGUUCUGAUAAUUAUUGUUAAUUUUCAUCUUGGGAGAAUCUACACUGUCUUA
This 300-nucleotide signal recognition particle RNA is filed under the name Meriones unguiculatus (Mongolian gerbil). RNAcentral's name for it is "Metazoan signal recognition particle RNA (ENSMUGG00000003997.1)". It matches the Rfam family "Metazoan signal recognition particle RNA". From Rfam's summary of the family: The signal recognition particle (SRP) is a universally conserved ribonucleoprotein. It is involved in the co-translational targeting of proteins to membranes. The eukaryotic SRP consists of a 300-nucleotide 7S RNA and six proteins: SRPs 72, 68, 54, 19, 14, and 9. The record is from RNAcentral. Lineage: Eukaryota; Metazoa; Chordata; Mammalia; Rodentia; Muridae.